This 346-nucleotide ribosomal RNA is filed under the name uncultured Pelotomaculum sp. Its description in RNAcentral is "bacterial SSU rRNA". It matches the Rfam family "Bacterial small subunit ribosomal RNA", at positions 1036 to 1382 of the family's 1533-position model. The record is from RNAcentral. Lineage: Bacteria; Bacillati; Bacillota; Clostridia; Eubacteriales; Desulfotomaculaceae.
AGGUGGUGCAUGGUUGUCGUCAGCUCGUGUCGUGAGAUGUUGGGUUAAGUCCCGCAACGAGCGCAACCCCUACGUUUAGUUGCUAACAGGUGAAGCUGAGCACUCUAGACGAACUGCCGUUGACAAAACGGAGGAAGUGGGGAUGACGUCAAAUCAUCAUGCCCCUUAUGUUCUGGGCUACACACGUGCUACAAUGGCCGGUACAGACGGACGCAAAGCCGCGAGGUGGAGCAAAUCCUAAAAAGCCGGUCUCAGUUCGGAUUGCAGGCUGCAAUUCGCCUGCAUGAAGUCGGAAUCGCUAGUAAUCGCAGGUCAGCAUACUGCGGUGAAUACGUUCCCGGGCCUU